This is a non-coding RNA of Lolium perenne, 761 nucleotides long. The record is from RefSeq and is a predicted model, not a curated record. Lineage: Eukaryota; Viridiplantae; Streptophyta; Magnoliopsida; Poales; Poaceae.
AAAAUUAGUAAAAAAAUCUUAAUAUAGAUUAAAAACUUUAAAGAUCAUCAAAUAAUCAUACAGUAGCAUAAUUUUCUUGGACCCUUGUGACACGCCCCCCGUGCGGAAAAAAAAACAGAAGCGAAAUUGGAUACUCCCCAUUCUCCAAUCUCUAGCUCUCACUAUCUUCCUCCCCUUGCCCUUCGUCUCCACCACCCCGCAAGGUCCUGCUGCCCCUCCCCUGUGACGCCGCCGCUCCCCCGCUCGUCGACGUAGGAUGAGGGCGUCGUAUCCACCGGAUACGUGGUCGUGGCCACCUCGCCUUCGAGGUCUCCGCAACACUGGCCUCCUCCUCCCGCGGGACAAGCAGGCGUACUGGAGCGAGAACCGAGGAACGCCGGGCCGCACCGGUCUAUGCCCCUCCGCUGCCAGUCCGUCCGUUCUCCGUCGCCGAUGGUCCUCGCCCAUCCUCUCGCCCUGCGGCUCGGAGCCGCGGCAUUGCGCGACGGUGCACGCGAAGUCAGGCUUCGAGGUAUGAAGAUAUGUUCGAUGAAGACGACGUUAGCGAGGUUACCCUUCCGGCUUGGCCUGGGCAGGGUUAUGGACGCCACUUGUUAUCUUUAGGACUCUUAGUCCAAUUUGUAUCUUGUCCGUACUCGGAUGUAUUCGAUCUUCUGUAUGAUUUGGAUCUUUGUAUUGUAUAUUUGUAUCUUGACUCGUUGGAGUCGUUGUUGUAAUAUGUAUGUAUCUUGUGGCUCUAUUGUAAUCCUGUUGUAAUGUUA